GUGGGGAAUAUUGGGCAAUGGGCGCAAGCCUGACCCAGCAACGCCGCGUGAGGGAAGAAGGCUUUCGGGUUGUAAACCUCUGUCCUUGGUGACGAAACAAAUGACGGUAGCCAAGGAGGAAGCCCCGGCUAACUACGUGCCAGCAGCCGCGGUAAUACGUAGGGGGCGAGCGUUGUCCGGAAUUACUGGGCGUAAAGGGUGCGUAGGUGGCCUUUUAAGUUGGAUGUGAAAUACCCGGGCUUAACUUGGGGGGUGCAUCUAAUACUGGAGGGCUAGAGUGCAGGAGAGGAAAGCGGAAUUCCUAGUGUAGCGGUGAAAUGCGUAGAUAUUAGGAGGAACACCAGUGGCGAAGGCGGCUUUCUGGACUGUAACUGACACUGAGGCACGAAAGCGUGGGGAGCAAACAGGAUUAGAUACCCGAGUAGUCC
Molecule: ribosomal RNA, 428 nt
Filed under: uncultured bacterium
Lineage: Bacteria
Description: partial 16S ribosomal RNA
Rfam family: Bacterial small subunit ribosomal RNA
Source: RNAcentral